AUUCAGAUAGCUCAAUUGAUAGAGCAUGAGACCCCUGAAUCUCAGGGUUGUGGGUUUGAGCCCAACGUUGUGUG
Podarcis lilfordi (Lilford's wall lizard) is the source of this 74-nucleotide non-coding RNA. The record is from the annotation of a GenBank genome assembly. NCBI's taxonomy places the organism in Eukaryota, Metazoa, Chordata, Lepidosauria, Squamata, Lacertidae.